AGCGAACGCUGGCGGCAUGCCUAACACAUGCAAGUCGCACGGGGGGGCUUCGGCCUCCCAGUGGCGGACGGGUGAGGAACGCGUAGGGACCUGUCGAGGGGUGGGGGAUAACCGCGGGAAACUGCGGCUAAUACCGCAUGACGCCGCGGCGUGACAGCCGGGGCCAAAGGCGAAAGCCGCCCGCCGAGGGGCCUGCGUCCGAUUAGCUGGUUGGCGGGGUAGCGGCCCACCAAGGCGUCGAUCGGUAGCUGGUCUGAGAGGGUGAUCAGCCACACCGGGACUGAGACACGGCCCGGACUCCUACGGGAGGCAGCAGUGGGGAAUAUUGGGCAAUGGGCGCAAGCCUGAUCCAGCAAUGCCGCGUGGGUGAAGAAGGUCUUCGGAUUGUAAAGCCCUUUCGGCGGGGACGAUGGUGACGGUACCCGCAGAAGAAGCCCCGGCUAACUUCGUG
RNAcentral lists this ribosomal RNA (451 nucleotides) under uncultured bacterium. Its description in RNAcentral is "partial 16S ribosomal RNA". It matches the Rfam family "Bacterial small subunit ribosomal RNA", at positions 28 to 507 of the family's 1533-position model. The record is from RNAcentral.